This 253-nucleotide ribosomal RNA is filed under the name uncultured bacterium. Its description in RNAcentral is "partial 16S ribosomal RNA". It matches the Rfam family "Bacterial small subunit ribosomal RNA", at positions 524 to 776 of the family's 1533-position model. The record is from RNAcentral.
UACGUAGGGGGCAAGCGUUGUCCGGAUUUAUUGGGCGUAAAGAGCGUGUAGGCGGCCAGACAAGUCUGCUGUGAAAACUCGAGGCUCAACCUCGAGCUGUCGGUGGAAACUGUCUGGCUAGAGUCCGGAAGAGGGGAGUGGAAUUCCUGGUGUAGCGGUGAAAUGCGCAGAUAUCAGGAAGAACACCUAUGGCGAAGGCAGCUCUCUGGGACGGUACUGACGCUGAGACGCGAAAGCGUGGGGAGCGAACAGG